This 389-nucleotide unclassified non-coding RNA is filed under the name soil metagenome. RNAcentral describes it as "partial contains 5.8S ribosomal RNA, internal transcribed spacer 2, and large subunit ribosomal RNA". The stretch from base 1 to 122 matches the Rfam family "5.8S ribosomal RNA", at positions 35 to 154 of the family's 154-position model. The record is from RNAcentral.
GAUGAAGAACGUAGCGAAAUGCGAUACUUGGUGUGAAUUGCAGAAUCCCGCGAAUCAUCGAGUUUUUGAACGCAAGUUGCGCCCGAAGCCAUUCGGCCGAGGGCACGUCUGCCUGGGUGUCACGCAUCGUUGCCCCCCCAAACUCCGGUUCGGGCGGGGCGGAAGUUGGCCUCCCGUGCGUGCCUGCGCGCGCGGUUAGCCCAAAAGCGAGUCCUCGGCGAUGAGCGCCACGACAAUCGGUGGUUUUUUUACCCUCGUUCCUCGUCGUGCGUGCCCCGUCGCCCGAACGCGCUCUUGCAACCCUUACGCGUCGCCUCGGUGGCGCUCCCAACGCGACCCCAGGUCAGGCGGGACUACCCGCUGAGUUUAAGCAUAUCAUAAGCGGAGGA